This 372-nucleotide transfer-messenger RNA is filed under the name Streptomycetaceae. RNAcentral describes it as "Streptomyces sp003665095 Standard tmRNA". It matches the Rfam family "transfer-messenger RNA". From Rfam's summary of the family: Bacterial tmRNA, also known as 10Sa RNA or SsrA, is named for its dual tRNA and mRNA-like properties. The record is from RNAcentral. RNAcentral also lists the same sequence under 2 other names. Lineage: Bacteria; Bacillati; Actinomycetota; Actinomycetes; Kitasatosporales.
GGGGAUGAUCGGUUUCGACAGCGGAUGUCGAAGCAGGGGAAGCGAGCCGAGGAACGCGGCAAUGAUCUCGUUAACCAUCUGCCGCAAAAAAAUAAUCGCCAAUUCCAAGCGCGAUUCCUUCGCCCUCGCUGCCUAAGCAGCGACUUGCGAAGUGUCGGCCCGGGGGUGUUCCCUCCCCGGUCUCCGGCAUCAGCUAGGGGACUCACCGCGUAAGCCCGGUCACGGGGUUUACCGGGACACUUCACAGUGACUGAGCCCGUCGGAGACUUGUCCGUGUGAUCUCCGGGGCCGAGAAAAUCGUAACGGACUGCGCUCGGAGAAGCCCUCCUUCCGCUCCGUUGGACGCGGGUUCGAUUCCCGCCAUCUCCACUC